UGGCUCAGAUUGAACGCUGGCGGCAGGCCUAACACAUGCAAGUCGAGCGGUAACAUUUCUAGCUUGCUAGAAGAUGACGAGCGGCGGACGGGUGAGUAAUGCUUGGGAAUAUGCCUUAGGGUGGGGGACAACAGUUGGAAACGACUGCUAAUACCGCAUAACGUCUACGGACCAAAGGGGGCUUCGGCUCUCGCCCUUAGAUUAGCCCAAGUGGGAUUAGCUAGUUGGUGAGGUAAUGGCUCACCAAGGCGACGAUCCCUAGCUGGUUUGAGAGGAUGAUCAGCCACACUGGAACUGAGACACGGUCCAGACUCCUACGGGAGGCAGCAGUGGGGAAUAUUGCACAAUGGGCGCAAGCCUGAUGCAGCCAUGCCGCGUGUGUGAAGAAGGCCUUAGGGUUGUAAAGCACUUUCAGUAAGGAGGAAAGGUUAGUAGUUAAUACCUGCUAGCUGUGACGUUACUUACAGAAGAAGCACCGGCUAACUCCGUGCCAGCAGCCGCGGUAAUACGGAGGGUGCGAGCGUUAAUCGGAAUUACUGGGCGUAAAGCGUACGCAGGCGGUUUGUUAAGCGAGAUGUGAAAGCCCCGGGCUCAACCUGGGAACUGCAUUUCGAAACUGGCAAACUAGAGUAUGAUAGAGGGUGGUAGAA
This 650-nucleotide ribosomal RNA is filed under the name Pseudoalteromonas sp. KE1-04. RNAcentral's name for it is "bacterial SSU rRNA". It matches the Rfam family "Bacterial small subunit ribosomal RNA", at positions 20 to 666 of the family's 1533-position model. Lineage: Bacteria; Pseudomonadati; Pseudomonadota; Gammaproteobacteria; Alteromonadales; Pseudoalteromonadaceae. The record is from RNAcentral.